Molecule: long non-coding RNA, 859 nt
Filed under: Malus domestica (apple)
Lineage: Eukaryota; Viridiplantae; Streptophyta; Magnoliopsida; Rosales; Rosaceae
Description: long non-coding RNA (MDOM_LNC017994)
Source: RNAcentral
AAAAAUUAUUUAUUUUUACCAAAGAUUCUGAAAAGAUAACGACACAUGACACGAUAACAUUGGAUAAAAAUCUUAUCGAAAUCCUUCGCUAAAUAAUUGUUUUUUUUUUAUAAAAUGACACGUGGCGCAACGAGAACAAUUUAAGAAUUCUUAUCCGAAAUUACAAAUAAUUUUAUUUUGUAUUAUUUAAACAAACAAAAAAAACUAUUAUUUUAAUUGCCUAUUGCCUGGGGGGAGGGCUCCAAGGGUGGAGAUGCAAAUGGCAAUUACUGUUCAUUAAUGUCAGUUACUAUUCAUUUAAGGCAGUUACUGUUCAAAAGGGUGGAUUCAAUAGUGCAUUGCCAGGGGGGAAGGCUCCAUGGGUGGAGUUGCUCUAAUCAAAUCAUAUUGCAAGCAUGAACAUGGUUUCGAAUUCCCCCCUAGCUAAGGGGGGUUUAGUUCCUCAUACUCACAAAGGAAAGAUAAACAAAUUUAGACAUUGAAAACAAAAGAAUGAAAACACCUAAAAACGCUCCAACAAUCCAACUUGAAUGGCAAACACGUCCAAGGGUCCUCCUUCUUCUCUUUGUUGCGGAUCAAAGUGUGGUUUGAUGGAUGAGUGGUAAAUUAUGGUGGUGGAUGGAUAUAGGUGAGUUAUGGUGAAGCGUGGAUGGGUGGAUUGUGUUCUCCUUUUGGUUGGAUGAGUGCCACGACAAGGGAAUGGAAUUGUAUGUGUUUGUGGGAUGUGGGAAUAUAUGGAUGAAUGUAAGGUCUUUUGAAUGGAUCUUUUCUUCUUUCUUCUUUGUUAUGGUGAAGGGUGGAUGUAUUUAUAGGCUAGGGUGAGGACCACCAUCUAAUUAAGGUGGUAGUGGUGUAUGUU